UAAAGCUCAUUUGAAAAACCCCUUGGAGAAUUCUUGGACGUGUUUAGACCUGCUUAAAGAAAGUAAACCAGUGUGCAAAUAUUUUAACUUGAUUUUUUAGAAUUCUUAUCCCACAAAUCUUAGAAAAUAGUCAGAGCAAAGCAGAUGUUUUUUCCUCAGAAUUCACUGUAGAUUUUUACUUCCAUCAGAAAUGAAAUUUAUUCUGUAUUUUAUAGCUAUAAUUCUAUUGGGAACCAGUAGUCAAUCUAGUUUAGUUGGAUGGAUUUUAGGCAGGGAUAGCUCCCCUUUUAAUAUUUUGAAUAGCGAAAAACAAUUUGACAAGCUUAUGACUGCAACAACAACAAAUGAAGAACAUAAGAUUGAAACAUAUGACCCAAAAGAGAAUGCCAUAGAAGCAAGAUCUGAUAUUCCAUUUGAGCUUAGUGUCGCGGAUGAGAAAUUCAUUGCAGAUGCACAAAAAUACACUGAUCUAAGCCUAAGUGAGCUGGAUGUCUGCCAACAUAAAUUGAUCCUUCAAUUGAAGCAAGACUGUAAUGAUCUCUCAGAGGAAGAUCUGUCAAAGUUGGGAGUUAACCUUCUAAACUGCCAGUCAAGGCUCGAAGGAAGAAAGGUCUUCCCAUGCACAUCUUUAAUGUCUUUGAAAGAAUGUACUAGUGACAUGGAUUCAGAUACCUGGAAUGCCUACCAUAUUCUGUCAAACAGAGCAAGAUCAGUUUGCUAUGGAGCUCGACAGCAACAGUUUAGAGCACUGACUCAGAUGACUGUUAACAAACUCAUGGCCAGUUCAAGCCGGCAGUUGGGGUUUAUAAGAGAACUCAAGGCUGAGCAAGAGGAACUAGGAUCAUUGGCUGCAGAUACUUUGACUUCUUUAACCAAAGGUCAAGAGCAGCUGUUGGAGCAGCAAGAGUAUCUAAAGGCCACCCAGCAGAUAGCUUCACAGCAAUUAAGCAGCACUAUUAGAGAAAUGUCAAGAGAGCGCGCUGCUGCCUAUGCAGGUCAACGACAACUUUCGGCCUUAAGUGAUUCGUUAAAAGAAACUUUGAAUCAAGCAGCUCAGUUGGCCAUGGAGCAAGAAAACGAUCGAAAGAUAGCACAGGAGCACCUCCUGAAUUCUUUGAUGAAUCUCGAAGGACACGUAGGCGAAGUUUGGAACCAAUUAGAGGAAAGUGUCAAUAAAUUACUAAAUCAACAAGAUCACGCAGCUCAAAUGCAAACAGAAACUAUAGAAACGCUACAGCGACUAAAUCAUACUUUCCAAUUUUUGUUGAGCGUCUCUGAGAACAGUCGUGAACAACUGAAUUGGAUUCAAAGCUUGGUUGUUAAUACAGAAAAAAAGGUCGGAAAGUUGUCAACCUGGGUUCUCCACGUCUGCUAUUUCCUGUUGGGGAUGCUGUUGUUAGCAUUCGUACAAGCCCCAUCGUACAUGCGGUGGAUAUUUUUGUUCUUGGUCCCUAUUAAUUUAUCAAUGGACCUUCAGCAAGGUGUCGCAAUGGAUGCUCCGGCUCUCGUAGGCCUCCUUUUUGUCGUUUCUACUGGUUAUCGAGUGUUCUUGUAUUUGAAAUCCCGCUGCAGUCCUAUUACGCGCGCUAUUGAUAAGCCUCAGGAGAUCGAGUACCGUUCUUCGACUCCCGCUGCGAAGGUUUUUGUGACGAGCGUUUCGGACAAUACGGUGGAUGACCUUCUCGAGGGUUGCACUCUGCUGAAUGACUCAUUCGAUGGAGAUCGUAGCAGCACGCCGCUGCCUUCGCCUUCGUUUGAAAUGUUCAUGUCACAACAGAAACACAAAAGCGUUCGGUCACUUCUACAAGACAGCAAACUUGGUGAUAUAAGCUUGGGAAGCGCUGUUCACCGUCGGAGUCCUAGGAGAGCAAACACUUCGAAUUCGUUCAGAGAGCUCUCCCCUACCCGAUCAGUGGCUUCGAACAUGUCGAUCAAUCAGUCGAGAAGUGGCACACCGCGUCGACCGGCCACUCCUCGCCGCACUUGCUCUGGAACAUGCGUAGACGGUUCUAGUUGCCGCAACGCGUGCAUGAAGGAUUCUGUAUUUUGCUGGCAGCACAAAUGAAAUUUUACUUCUUCAAUAACUUGGAUUCAAUAUGUUUGCUUAUCAAAGCAACGACGAAGGAUGGCAUCUGCACCUCCAAUUCAAGUUGUCUAGGUAACAUUUGCGUUGCCUAGGCAGCAUUUACGCUUGACAGCUGAGGAAAAUUCGUGGCUGCGCCAGAUGUACAUGAUUGGAUUAUAAACGGUGUGAACGAGCACAAGUUCCCGAAAAUAUGGAAUCAUCCAAGUUACGGCCGUGCAAUCGUCAUAGACGUGACUGCAAUAGAAUGCUCCUAGCCAAACAAUAAAUAUGGGUGAAGAAAUGAUAGCUAGUGAUGUAACACCUUGCGCUAAUGUCCACGUGGCUUCUAUUUCGAGUUUACUAAUUGCAUUGCUGCCGACGUGAACGAAAAAUUCUGGUGAUUUUGCCGUUGAUUGUUCGAGGACGUUUUUCGGCCGAUCGGCUUGUGAUAGUGACCCUAUCGAUUGACAUCGGCCUUCCCUCUGUUGAAGGAAGUACGUUUUUGUCUUCAAAUAAAUGACGAUCUGAGCGAUGAAGCAGCUAGUAACGAGCACAGUCAGUGUAAGGACGAUGAUUUUUCCAUGCGGCUCAUUUUUAUGGCAACUGACGUUUUUCCGAAUUCCGUCCCAGAAAUGCGAUGCUUUAAAGAGGAUGGAAAGAAGGACAACUCCCGUUAACUGCCCAGCGAUGAUGAGUUUGACGGACACUUGAUUUUUGUGCCAAAGAGGGAAGGUGAUGGCGAUGAAGCGAUCAAUCAAACCCAGCAGUAGAUUUAAUAGCAAACUGGCGUAUGGGAUGCCAACCAAAAGGGAAAAUAUCCAGCAGGCCGUUUUGCUUUCGGGCAUCAGGUAGAAAACGAUGAGUUCGUUGACGCUUACCACCUGGGCAAAUAAAUUGGAAAAGGUUACACCUAACCAAGCGAUGUGACGAGGCUUGUGCAAUCGCCGUUGCACGAUUAUGACGACGGCGAUCAACAGGUUGAGUGGCGCACCGACCGAAACACAACUGAUGAUGGCCAACGGCAGGAACGCUAAGACGCUAACCGGUUCCGUCUUGUUCGUUCCGUUCGACACGAUUUCGCUUGAAGCAAAGAUGGACGACAUGCUCGUAGCGAUUUACAUUGAUAAAUGGCCCUUCAUCACUGACUUGUCGAAUUAAUAUGUAUCUCUCGUGGAAAGAGUGUAUUCGAAGUACUCGAGCGCUUGCGCAAUUUGUCUUCAUUUUGAACGACCAUUUCUUGAAUCUUUUAUCUCUGUUGUGCUCACGCAUUGUUGUUGCUCUUAGAUGUGCCCAGGACUUUGUAAAAGGCUUAUUCUUAAUUUUAAACAAUUAAUUCCCAGUUUUCUUUUCCCUCCGGUUUUUAUCGCGUUGCUAAUCCUAUUCGCAAUGGGAAAGUUUGAGCAGAACUAAGCUGCAUUUUUCGGCAUGCCUGUAAAGAUGCGCUAUCCGACGUUUUGUGUGCUGUAAUCUCAGCGGAUCAGUAUUUGUAUCACUGGAGAUGGGGAAUCGUGUAUUGUCAUGGCAACAAAUCCCACCAACAACAAUUUGAGAAUAAAAAAAAAAACAAAAAAACCAAACGA
This is an RNA transcript of Daphnia magna, 3645 nucleotides long. It is a transcript of the gene named protein brambleberry, with no coding region annotated. Lineage: Eukaryota; Metazoa; Arthropoda; Branchiopoda; Diplostraca; Daphniidae. The record is from RefSeq and is a predicted model, not a curated record. The transcript has 12 exons.